This 292-nucleotide ribosomal RNA is filed under the name Salmonella enterica. RNAcentral describes it as "partial 23S ribosomal RNA". It matches the Rfam family "Bacterial large subunit ribosomal RNA", at positions 1085 to 1376 of the family's 2925-position model. Lineage: Bacteria; Pseudomonadati; Pseudomonadota; Gammaproteobacteria; Enterobacterales; Enterobacteriaceae. The record is from RNAcentral. RNAcentral also lists the same sequence under 1 other name.
CCAGACAGCCAGGAUGUUGGCUUAGAAGCAGCCAUCAUUUAAAGAAAGCGUAAUAGCUCACUGGUCGAGUCGGCCUGCGCGGAAGAUGUAACGGGGCUAAACCAUGCACCGAAGCUGCGGCAGCGACACUGUGUGUUGUUGGGUAGGGGAGCGUUCUGUAAGCCUGUGAAGGUGGCCUGUGAGGGUUGCUGGAGGUAUCAGAAGUGCGAAUGCUGACAUAAGUAACGAUAAAGCGGGUGAAAAGCCCGCUCGCCGGAAGACCAAGGGUUCCUGUCCAACGUUAAUCGGGGCA